This 157-nucleotide small nucleolar RNA is filed under the name Trichophyton rubrum BMU01672. Its description in RNAcentral is "CD-box snoRNA". Lineage: Eukaryota; Fungi; Ascomycota; Eurotiomycetes; Onygenales; Arthrodermataceae. The record is from RNAcentral.
UCACAUGAUGAGACAAUUACGGCACAAAGACAAGCAUAUGUCCAAGCUAGCCUCGCUAGUGAAGACGAGAAUGUCAACCUUCCUGACUUUCCUGACUAUCCGUUUUCGAAGCAACACAAGUCGAAAGUGCAUAGUGAUGGCGGCUAACGUGUGUUAC